Molecule: ribosomal RNA, 483 nt
Filed under: uncultured fungus
Lineage: Eukaryota; Fungi
Description: eukaryotic LSU rRNA
Rfam family: 5.8S ribosomal RNA (bases 121-274)
Source: RNAcentral
GCCGCUACCUCUUACCCAUGUCUUUUGAGUACUUACGUUUCCUCGGCGGGUCCGCCCGCCGAUUGGACAAAAUUAAACCCUUUGCAGUUGCAAUCAGCGUCUGAAAAACAUAAUAGUUACAACUUUCAACAACGGAUCUCUUGGUUCUGGCAUCGAUGAAGAACGCAGCGAAAUGCGAUAAGUAGUGUGAAUUGCAGAAUUCAGUGAAUCAUCGAAUCUUUGAACGCACAUUGCGCCCCUUGGUAUUCCAUGGGGCAUGCCUGUUCGAGCGUCAUUUGUACCUUCAAGCUUUGCUUGGUGUUGGGUGUUUGUCUCGCCUUUGCGUGUAGACUCGCCUCAAAACAAUUGGCAGCCGGCGUAUUGAUUUCGGAGCGCAGUACAUCUCGCGCUUUGCACUCAUAACGACGACGUCCAAAAGUACAUUUUUACACUCUUGACCUCGGAUCAGGUAGGGAUACCCGCUGAACUUAAGCAUAUCAAUAA